AGGGUGUAAACGCUGCAGACUUGGUGUUGGGGGCCCUUUGGGGGCGAUUCAGUGCCGGAGAGAAGUUGUUAAGUCUGCUACUUGGGGAGUACGUCCGCAAGGAUGAAACUUAAAGGAAUUGGCGGGGGAGCACCGCAACGGGAGGAGCGUGCGGUUUAAUUGGAUUUCAACACCGGAAAACUCACCAGCAGCGACUGUUACAUGAAAGUCAGGCCGAUGACCUUACUAGAUUUUCAGAGAGGAGGUGCAUGGCGUCAGUGACU
Molecule: ribosomal RNA, 263 nt
Filed under: uncultured archaeon
Lineage: Archaea
Description: partial 16S ribosomal RNA
Rfam family: Archaeal small subunit ribosomal RNA
Source: RNAcentral